Molecule: ribosomal RNA, 904 nt
Filed under: uncultured Lentimicrobium sp.
Lineage: Bacteria; Pseudomonadati; Bacteroidota; Bacteroidia; Bacteroidales; Lentimicrobiaceae
Description: bacterial SSU rRNA
Rfam family: Bacterial small subunit ribosomal RNA
Source: RNAcentral
AGUCAGGGGUGAAAUCCCACAGCUCAACUGUGGAACUGCCUUUGAUACUGUCAGUCUAGAGUAUAGUUGAAGUUGGCGGAAUGUGUCAUGUAGCGGUGAAAUGCUUAGAUAUGACACAGAACACCGAUCGCGAAGGCAGCUAGCUAAGCUAUAACUGACGCUCAUGCACGAAAGCGUGGGGAUCAAACAGGAUUAGAUACCCUGGUAGUCCACGCUGUAAACGAUGAUUACUCGAUGUUGGCGAUACACAGUCAGCGUCUGAGCGAAAGCAAUAAGUAAUCCACCUGGGGAGUACGAUCGCAAGAUUGAAACUCAAAGGAAUUGACGGGGGCCCGCACAAGCGGAGGAGCAUGUGGUUUAAUUCGAUGAUACGCGAGGAACCUUACCUGGGCUCGAACGUAAGAUGACUGUAGGUGAAGGCUUACAUCUCUUCGGAGCAUUUUACGAGGUGCUGCAUGGUUGUCGUCAGCUCGUGCCGUGAGGUGUCGGGUUAAGUCCCAUAACGAGCGCAACCCCUACCUUUAGUUGCCAUCAGGUCAUGCUGGGGACUCUAAAGGAACUGCCUACGCAAGUAGUGAGGAAGGCGGGGAUGACGUCAAAUCAGCACGGCCCUUACGUCCAGGGCUACACACGUGCUACAAUGGCCGAUACAGAGGGCAGCUACCUGGUGACAGGAUGCAAAUCUCCAAAGUCGGUCUCAGUUCGGAUCGGAGUCUGCAACCCGACUCCGUGAAGUUGGAUUCGCUAGUAAUCGCGCAUCAGCCAUGGCGCGGUGAAUACGUUCCCGGGCCUUGUACACACCGCCCGUCAAGCCAUGGAAGCUGGGGGGACCUAAAGUCGAUAACCGCAAGGAGUCGCCUAGGGUAAAACCAGUGACUGGGGCUAAGUCGUAACAAGGUAGCCG